UACCCAGCAUGCCCCGUGUGUGUUUGUAAAAUCCCUAAAGAGGAUUUAUGUGGAUCAGAGAGACGACAUGCCGCUGAAGAGAGAAGAUACUGAACGUGCUCUGCAGGUGAUGGAGGCCUGUCAGGCCGGAGCUGAAGAAGGGGUCAAAGGUCGCGCCGAGAAACUGCUCAACAUCUUCCAGAGUGACCUGUUCCAGGCCCUGCUGGACAUACAGGAGUUCUACGAGCUGACAGUGUGUGAGAACCAGACGACGAGCCGACCACACACACCUGGACAG
Molecule: non-coding RNA, 277 nt
Organism: Labrus bergylta (ballan wrasse)
Lineage: Eukaryota; Metazoa; Chordata; Actinopteri; Labriformes; Labridae
Source: RefSeq, a predicted model, not a curated record